RNAcentral lists this long non-coding RNA (393 nucleotides) under Selaginella moellendorffii. RNAcentral's name for it is "long non-coding RNA (SMOE_LNC001392)". Lineage: Eukaryota; Viridiplantae; Streptophyta; Lycopodiopsida; Selaginellales; Selaginellaceae. The record is from RNAcentral.
UGUACCAACGGCUCCGGUUGCGUCUCCAGUUGUGGCCGCCGUGCCUCCAGUUGUGACGGCUCCAGUGUCGUCUCCACCUGUGGCAACUCCUCCAGUUGCGACACCACCCGUGGUUAUUACGGCUCCACCAGUGGCUACUCCAGUUGUGGCUCCUCCUGUCACUACUCCGGUUGUGGCUCCACCCGUGGCGACACCGGUAACGUCACCACCUUUGGCAACUCCAGUGGCGUCUCCACCUUUGGCAACUCCAGUCACUGCUCCGGUUGUCUCUCCACCUUUGGCUACUCCAGUUACUGCGCCCGUGAUAGCUCCUCCAGUCGCGACUCCAGUGUCAACCCCACCAGUGGCUGCUCCAGUUGUUACGCCCGUGGCUGCGCCCGUGGUGACUCCAGC